RNAcentral lists this long non-coding RNA (4599 nucleotides) under Linum usitatissimum (flax). RNAcentral's name for it is "long non-coding RNA (LUSI_LNC004313)". Lineage: Eukaryota; Viridiplantae; Streptophyta; Magnoliopsida; Malpighiales; Linaceae. The record is from RNAcentral.
GUGAAGGAGGCAAAAAAACCAAAAAGAAGAAAAAGAAGAACAGUCCUGGAGCAGACGGUCCUGGUAAAAAUUAAUUAAUAGCAUGGGAUCUAUCGACUAUCGUCACCAUCAUCUAAGAAGUAGCUAGCUCCCUCCUGGCUGUUGUACUUUUCAUAUACUAACAAGUCUAUCUGCUUACACAGAUCACAAUCAUGCAUAUAUGCAUGUUGUUGCUUUCUACUAUGUACGUACUAAUUAACAAAUAAACAAAAUAGCUGUGUAUCCGGUGACCUUCCGGCGAUACGUACUUGUCUCAGUUUCCCGGCAUCCGUUUGAAGUGCCAAUAUAAUAAAUUCUGCGUGCUGUGUCAUCUUGUUUCUCUGUUUCCAUCGUUCAGUUUCUACAGAAGCAUAGGUACUCUGCUCCUCGUCCGCAUUCGAAGGGAGAAGAAGUUGACUAUGUUUCACUUUGACCAAGGCCCAACAUCACUCCACCCCAUCUGACUUUGUUUUAACUUAAGCCCAAUCAGGGUUUGACUUUUUCUUUUUACAUAGCAUAAAUCACAUAGACGAAUCUGUGUGUGUGCCGGUGAUGAAGAGUUAUCGAUUUUUAAAUUUAAUUAUAUAUUUUACAAAUUGAUACUAGUGUAAUGUUAUUUUUUUUCUUAUUUCGAACAAAAAAUAUUGACGAUAUUUGAACCAUAUAUGAUUGAGAUCGAUAAACUGAUGUUCGUUGAUUGAAACUGAUGAAUCAUACUUGGGCGGGUGGCUCAUGGGUCUGUCGGGUUGACAAAAAGGCGAGGCAUAAUGAACAGAACAUUACAGUUCCAUGUGAAAGCUACAGUUCUUUUUUGAAAAAAGAGAUUUCAUAUAUUAGUGAUCGUUAAUUCCAUACAUGGGUUACUCAUCAUCCCCAACAUUCAUAACAAGGUCGAGCCACUUUGGUGGAAACGAACAAUUCAUAGAAGAAACUGCAAGCCAAUCGACAAGCUUGUCCUAUCCGCAAGGAAGAAAAGACACUUGUAUAUUGGUGUUGAGCUUGAGCUUCGACUUCAUAUAUCCAAUGAUCACUACACAUAUCCAGGACCAGAGAGAGUCACUUUAAUUGAGGAUAUUCACUAGGGAUUGGCAGUCUGAGUAUUAAUGGGUCGGUUGAGCAGUAAAUAUAGCCAGAUUGAUGGCUUCAUGAAGAGCAUGAGCUUCCGCAACAAUCGGAGAAGAGGAAAGGAAACGAUCGCUGGAACCACCACAGAUAAGUCCAUGGCCAUUAGUCAUGAUAACGCCAUAAGCCGUCGGCUGUGAAUCGCUCAAGAACAGCCCGUCAUGAUGUAUCUCAAAGUUAUGAUUCUGAGGCGGUGAACAAGGCUGAGGAGUGGGAGGGGUAGGAAUGAAGGUGUUGGGAAUCAUGUUUUGACCAGCCCUCGGGGAAGACCAGUCGUCCAAAUCUCUUUCGCCGCCGGUUAUAGAGAUGCUAGGCACUGGAAGGAAGGAUUGGAAAGUGAAGGCGUUCCUAGCCUUCUAAAUGUUCCAUCAGUAGACAGCAAAUUUUGUGCUCAGUACUUGAGAGCAUAAGGAUUUGAGAAACCAAUGCUAACGUUCAGAAGAAAAGGACGUUGAAAAAGACGGAGAAACCAGUAGAGAGCUUCCCCAAGUCAUGGCCGCGUGAGUGCAAGUAAAUAGGCAAUGGGCGAGGUUUUCCUCUCUACGGUGGUAGAUCGAGCAAAGAGUGGUUGGAGAGUAGUGGCGUUUGGCUAAGUUGACCCUGGUGGCCAAAGCGUCUUUGCAGCAUCUCCACAGGAAAAAACAGAUCUUUGGCGGGAGGGAUAGACUCCAAAGCCACUUCCAAUUGUUGCUUGAAACGCCGUUAUGGGUCCUCGUGAUGGCAUUGGGGAUACGCCUGAUGGUAUGGUACGAAGACUUGACCGUAAACCGUCCCAAAGGGUUAUGCUUCCAUUUUCACUCGUCUUCCAUACCAACAGGAUCUAUCAGAAUUUUGCACAUAGCCGUGGUCUGGGAUUGAUUAAAGCAGAGCGCAAUAAGAUAUGUGUCCCAAGCUCGGGAAUCCUCCUUGGUCCAAGCAGUCGCUUUCAUUUCCCCUUGGUCCGGACCGAUCAAUUUAAAAGAGUCGAUCCAUGAGAUCUGUGGAUCGUGCGAAAAGUGAUUGUGGAUCCAUCACCAAGACCUUUGAAGGCCCCUAAUCGGAUAACCUCUUUGGCCUUGGAGAUGCUUGACCAAAUCCAUGACGAGCAGCAUCCUUUUGACGAGUCCAGGAACUCAACCUUGGUAAAAUAGAGACCUUUCAGAAGACGAACCCACAACGCAUAAGGGUUAUCGAGCAUUCGCCAUGCUUGUUUGCUAAGUAGAGCCAGGUUGAAGUAAUUGAAGUUCCGAUAUCCUAAACCCCCAUCCCAUUUGGGGGAACAUAAGACCUUUUCGUUGCAACAGUGAAUAAUUUUCUUGUUCAUUGAACCAGACCAGAAGAAGUUGCAAAGAAUUCGGUCCAUCUUCUUUGUGAGGGUAUUGGAGAGUAAGAACACUCCCAUGAUGUAUGUCGGAAUGGCCUGACUCACCGCCAUUCCGACAAAAUCGUGAAAGCUAAGUUGGAGAGAUAAUUUUUAUAUGAAAUCGUACACCACAAUAUUUAGUUCUUUUUUUAUUUAAAUACGACUACUGCAAAGUUCAAUCAAGGUCAAUUGGAGAAAUUAUUACUCAAAAUCACUACGUUUUAGAUAGGAAUGCAUAAAUUUCCUCCGUUAUCCAAAUUAUGUUUCCAUCAAUCAUACAUAUAUUUACGUUACUAGCAGUUCUUUCUCAGGUAAAAAAACACACCAAUAAGUCAAACAGAUGCAAGCUUUCGCUCUCCAAAAAAAAGUUCAUUCAACAACGAAAAUACUCGCCUUGAAUCCAAUAUUUUUGAAGCGGAAAAAUCUUAUGACUACUAGUGUCUCUUGAUCCAUCAGCAUGUUGGCCCCCCUACUGAGUCUCCCACCUUAACCACAAAAUCAUGCCCACCGCCUACAGAUUGCUAUCAACUGAAACUCUUCGGCGAUAGAUCCUACAAUCAGGAUUCAUCUGUAGCGGGUUAUGGGGUUGUUAUAACUAACUCUUAUGGACAGAUGUCCAGUGGCAAAGUUGGGAAACUUGUUUGUUCAUCUACCCUCAUAGCUGAAGCUAAAGCUCUUCUUGAAGCCCAUCGACUAGCUGAGAGAUCCAAUCUCAGGACUCUCGUCCUCGCUGGCAGUCACUCUUGUGCUGGUUGAUGCUCUUAGACGAGAUAAGGAUGAUUGGCCAGGGCAAUGUUUCACAUGGCUACUCCUCAUGAAGGACAUUCUCCUAUCUCAUGACUGAAUUUCCUUAUCGUUUAUCCCCGUCGUCUCAAUAAAGCGGCGGACUAUGUUGCUUGAGGCGCUCCUUCGGCCACGCUUCCUCAUAACUAGAUUCAUUGUACCUAUUUUUCUGAUUUAUUGUAAAGCGUUUUCCUUUAGAAAUGAAUAUACAUAUCAUCUAUUUUGUAAAAAUCGUGGAGGGGAGCCACGUUGGUUGCAUGAUAUAGGAAGGAAGGCGUUGCGAAAAAAAUUGAGUGCACAAUCGUGUCACGUCCCACAACUAAUAGUAGUUGAGACUUUUUUGGAUGUUCGUGAUCUUUAUAUACGAGUGAAUAGCUUGAGAAAGUCCUCUUAGAUGUAGUUAAAAAAGAGGUGUUUUACUACCAAAAUAAAGUACACAAGGAGAUUAGAGAGAUGGAAACACAAUAUUAUUGUUCUUGUGUCAUUGUGUGUGUGAGUGUGAGAAUCAUAGAAGUCGUCGUUGUGCGCCGAAUGAAGCAGAGAAGCCAAAUAUGAAGAAAGAAUAGUAGCUAGGAAGGUAGGAACUGUACGCAAGUGUAAUAAGAAGUGAACUUAAUUAGCCUUCUUCUUACUUCAUUUUCUUGACCUUUCAACCAUUUGUGUUCCUAUAUAUACCUCUGUAUAGCAAUACUACUCGAAUCAAAACAAAAACAAAGCAAGAGUUGAUUAAGAGUACUACUAGCUACUACUGUGUUCAACAGCUGAAUCCAAAUAGCUAUAAUAAUGGCUUCCAAAGCUGCAACUUUCUUCUUCUUUUUGCUGGUGGCAUCUUUGCUCAUUACUGCUUCUUUUGGAGCUCGUCCGGAUAUUGUCGAAAAAUCUGCCACCGGAAAUCUGCAGGUGAGUGAUGUUAGCUCCGCACCAUCUCCUCCAGUUUCAGACGUUAAUGAUGAAAUCGACUGUAAUGGUGAAGGAGGCAAAAAAACCAAAAAGAAGAAAAAGAAGAACAGUCCUGGAGCAGACGGUCCUGGUAAAAAUUAAUUAAUAGCAUGGGAUCUAUCGACUAUCGUCACCAUCAUCUAAGAAGUAGCUAGCUCCCUCCUGGCUGUUGUACUUUUCAUAUACUAACAAGUCUAUCUGCUUUCACAAAUCAUAAUCAUGCAUAUAUGCAUGUCGUAGCUUUCUACUAUGUACCUACUAAUUAAUAAAUAAACAAAAUAGCUACGUAUCCGGUGACCUUCCGGCGAUACGUACUUGUCUCAGUUUCUCGGCAUCCGUUUUAAGUGCAAAUAUAAUAAAUUCUGCGUGUUGUGUCAUGUUGUUAUUUCUCUGUU